RNAcentral lists this unclassified non-coding RNA (209 nucleotides) under soil metagenome. RNAcentral describes it as "partial contains small subunit ribosomal RNA, internal transcribed spacer 1, and 5.8S ribosomal RNA". The record is from RNAcentral.
UUUCCGUAGGUGAACCUGCGGAAGGAUCAUUAAUGAAUUUAGAUUGAACCAUAGGCGAAAGCCAGUGGUUCUUCUUUCAUAUCCAUAACACCUGUGCACUGUUGGAUGCUUGCAUCCACUUUUAAACUAAACAUUAUUGUAACAAAUAUAUAUAUUAUGUAUCAUAAAUAAAUAAAAGAUCACUUUCAACAACGGAUCUCUUGGCUCUC